Long non-coding RNA from Cucumis sativus (cucumber), 2028 nucleotides. RefSeq lists it as uncharacterized. NCBI's taxonomy places the organism in Eukaryota, Viridiplantae, Streptophyta, Magnoliopsida, Cucurbitales, Cucurbitaceae. The transcript has 2 exons. The record is from RefSeq and is a predicted model, not a curated record.
CUCUCCAUAUAUUUCAUAUUUCUUCAAAUCAUAUGCAGGCAUUCAAACGUUGAGGAAAAGAAGGCCGCAACAAUACUUUUGAAAUUCUUCAAAGUCUUAAUACAUUCGGCACACAAAUCAAGGAAUUUUCUUCUGGCCGACUAUCUUCUUCAUCAAGAUUCAGGUGAGCUUCUUCAUCAACACAAAUGUUUAUUUUCGCAGUUCUUUCUUCAUUUGUUUGAACCUUAAUUCUUACGAACACCAUUAUACUUCUUUUUAAAUUGUGGCAUGUACAACAAUAUUAACUGAAAAUUGUUCACGAAACACAUUCAAGUUGAUCUGUGAAAUUUUGUCAAGGUCACAAACAAAAAUGUAAAGGGUAUAAUAUUUUUUCGUUUUUAAUUAUAGGUUGUAUAUAGAUAUGGAUAUAAAUUAUUUAUUUAUUCUUUUAAACUACAGAAACAAUAUAUCAAAAGAUAUCCCCUUGAUUUUAGGAACAACAGGAACAACAACUAGAAUUUGUUUUAUAUUUAUAAAGUUUAUUGUUUUUAUAAUUUUUAGCAAAAUUAAAAAUGAAAAUAAGUGGAGGAGGAAGGGAAGAACAAGACCAACUAUAGAUUACCAGCUAUUGGAAUCACUGUUCCAAAAAACCAUUAACAAAGAAGGUUGAAUAUCUGUCAAGUUCUUCUGAUGAGAUAUUAAUUAACAAAGAAGGUUGAAUAUUUGUCAAGUUCUUUUGAUGAGGUAUUAAUGUAAAAAAAUUUCAAUUACACAAAAGUUGUAAAUGUUGAUAACUUCUUGUAUGAAUACUUACAAUAGAGACCAAGACAUCCAAUGGUUGAGGGGUCGGGAAGCAAGCAUGAAAGUCAAAACACUUCAAUAAAGAGGGGAGGAAUGAACCUCCAAAUGAAAAUACUGCUAUGAAGAAAAAACAUAGGAUAAAGAGUUUGGUGAACUGUCUUAUUAAAACUUGUUUUCUAAUGAAUACAGUGAAAUUUUUUAAGUUGGGGACUGUGUAGGUUUCAAAAAGGCAAUUUAUGAGAAGGAAGAAACAUGAAGAAGAAGAGAAAGAAGCAAAGAGAAUGAAGAGAAGGUGUGUUGUCUCCGUUGUUGUACUUCAAUUAAUCAAAUGUACUAUAUUUAGUAAAUUCAUAACAUAACCUUUACCCAACAAAUCUUGUUGAACACGAAGUGAACAAGAUAAACAAGAAGAACAAGAUGAAGAUGAAGAAGGACAAGGUGAGACAGAUGCGAAAGGAGAAUGUAGUGUAGGGACGAAAGAAACAACGAAGAAAUGAAAAAUCAGUAGAGAAUAAAAAAAGAAAAAAGGAUACAACAAAGGGAAAGAAUGCAACAUUCCAUAACAUAUGAUAAAUGUAAAAGAUAUAUGGAAAUUUGCUAUCAAUUUCCUUUUUAUAACAUAGGUUAAGAGUGCUAACAAGGAAGAAAAGGCGAAAGAGGAUAAAAGAUGGAAAGGGAAAGCACAAAUGACAUAAGAAAAAACUGAGGACCAAUCUUCAUUGAAUUCAACUUCCUUUGACAGAACCAAAAACGACCACAAAAGACCAAGGUAAUGCCCUAAAUAAUAUGAAUGUCAGGUCCACGCUUUCCAAAAUGCUACAAUUAAUUAUUAUUUCUUUUUGCUAAAACCUUACUGGUUAAAGGAACCUAGUUGACAAGUGAUGACUUUCAAAUAUAGAUGAAAAUAAUCCAACCACGAGAGUUAUACUAAAAUAUGUAAGCACGUCUCCUACAAUUAAUGAUAAUAUGUAAGAUAUAAUUAGUUAUCCUAUUAAUGUAUUUCGUUUUUUAUAGUUGAACAUGAUGACAGAGAAUAAGAGAAGAUCGAAUGAACAGAGUAAAUGAUAAACCAUAUAUUGUUGACGCUCGAUCAACUUUAAUGUUACGUGAAUAAUUAUUUUAUGCAUUGUAAAUAUUUUGAGAGAGUUGUAAUGAAGGUUGAAAAAUGAGGUUUUUUUUCUUUUUGUACGGAUAGUCUAUUUUGAGAGGUUAAAAUGAAAUGAAAUUUGGCCUUACAUUUUUAAACCA